This 253-nucleotide ribosomal RNA is filed under the name uncultured bacterium. Its description in RNAcentral is "partial 16S ribosomal RNA". It matches the Rfam family "Bacterial small subunit ribosomal RNA", at positions 524 to 776 of the family's 1533-position model. The record is from RNAcentral.
UACGUAGGGGGCAAGCGUUGUCCGGAAUCAUUGGGCGUAAAGAGCGUGUAGGCGGCCCGAUAAGUCCGCUGUGAAAGUCCAGGGCUCAACCCUGGGAUGCCGGUCGAUACUGCCGGACUAGAGUUCGGAAGAGGCGAGUGGAAUUCCCGGUGUAGCGGUGAAAUGCGCAGAUAUCGGGAGGAACACCAAUGGCGAAGGCAGCUCGCUGGGACGUUACUGACGCUGAGACGCGAAAGCGUGGGGAGCAAACAGG